UGGGGAAUCUUGCACAAUGGGGGCAACCCUGAUGCAGCGACGCCGCGUGAGCGAUGAAGCCCUUCGGGGUGUAAAGCUCUUUCGGCAGGGAAGAUAAUGACGGUACCUGCAGAAUCAGCUGCGACUAACUACGUGCCAGCAGCCGCGGUAAUACGUAGGCAGCGAGCGUUGUUCGGAGUUACUGGGCGUAAAGGGUGUGUAGGCGGUGCUCUAAGUGUGGUGUGAAAUCUCCCGGCUCAACUGGGAGGGUGCGCUACGAACUGGAGUGCUCGAGUGCGGGAUGGGAGAGUGGAAUUCCUGGUGUAGCGGUGAAAUGCGUAGAUAUCAGGAGGAACACCGGUGGUGUAGACGGCUCUCUGGACCGCAACUGACGCUGAGACACGAAAGCGUGGGUAGCAAACAGGAUUAGAUACCCCCGUAGUCCCUGAGCGGGCUGGCAAGGCGCAU
RNAcentral lists this ribosomal RNA (447 nucleotides) under uncultured bacterium. RNAcentral's name for it is "bacterial SSU rRNA". It matches the Rfam family "Bacterial small subunit ribosomal RNA", at positions 355 to 825 of the family's 1533-position model. The record is from RNAcentral.